RNAcentral lists this transfer RNA (77 nucleotides) under Chloroflexota bacterium. RNAcentral's name for it is "Chloroflexi bacterium (freshwater metagenome) tRNA-Asp". It matches the Rfam family "tRNA". From Rfam's summary of the family: Transfer RNA (tRNA) molecules are approximately 80 nucleotides in length. Their secondary structure includes four short double-helical elements and three loops (D, anti-codon, and T loops). The record is from RNAcentral. Lineage: Bacteria; Bacillati; Chloroflexota.
GGGCUCGUGGUGUAGUGGCCAAACAUGCGGCCCUGUCAAGGCCGAGAUCGGGGGUUCGAAUCCCCUCGAGCCCGCCA